AUACGGAGGGGGUUAGCGUUGUUCGGAAUUACUGGGCGUAAAGCGCACGUCGGCGGAUUGGAAAGUUGGGGGUGAAAUCCCAGGGCUCAACCCUGGAACUGCCUCCAAAACUAACAGUCUAGAGUUCGAGAGAGGUGAGUGGAAUUCCAAGUGUAGAGGUGAAAUUCGUAGAUAUUUGGAGGAACACCAGUGGCGAAGGCGGCUCACUGGCUCGAUACUGACGCUGAGGUGCGAAAGCGUGGGGAGCAAACAGGAUUAGAAACCCUAGUAGUCC
Molecule: ribosomal RNA, 274 nt
Filed under: uncultured bacterium
Lineage: Bacteria
Description: partial 16S ribosomal RNA
Rfam family: Bacterial small subunit ribosomal RNA
Source: RNAcentral